AUCAUGAUGUAUGAUAAAAUCAAAGCGUGUGGCAAAAGAAUGGGUUCAAAAAAACCAUCACAUAUUUUUGUUCUUCUCUUAUCUCUUCUAAUUUUGAUUUUCACUAUUUCUUCUCAAGUUAGAGUCGUCGAGGCUACAAGCCGCAUACUUGCAAAUGGAAGGACCAUCGUGUGGACUCCAGCAUCAAAGUCAUGUGGAGCUUCUCAUGCAUCGUGGAAGAAGUAUCGCCGACCCUGUAAACGUCCUCCAAGAUCUGCCCCUGCUUCCUACAACUCUCCAUAAGACCAUAAGACAGUUUCACGUUUAGUUUUGGAAUUUCGGGGUUAUGCGAGACAAAAUAAAGUUGGAGUCGUGGAGGCUACAAGCCGCAAACUAAUUACAAGGGGAAAACCCAUCGUGUGGACUCGAUCAUCAAAGUCAUGCGGAGCUUCUUAUGCAUCGUGGUCGAAAAAACCUCGACGACCAUGCAAACGUCCUCCAAGAUAUGUUCCAGUUUCUACUCAGUCUCCCUAAGUACCCUCUCGUUUUUGUGUAAUAUUGGAGUGUAGUGAAGUUUUCGGAAUUCGAGUUUCAUGUAAAAAAAAUAAGGUGAAUUUUCUGAUUUGUAUUCUUGUUUGAAUAAUGUAUGAAAUUAGUGUGCAAUGUAAAAUGAUGAAAUAUACAACUCCAUGUUAUAUAUUUCUGAUUUUUGAAUUAAUCAAUACUAGCAAAUUUCAUGUUA
Camelina sativa (false flax) is the source of this 721-nucleotide non-coding RNA. NCBI's taxonomy places the organism in Eukaryota, Viridiplantae, Streptophyta, Magnoliopsida, Brassicales, Brassicaceae. The record is from RefSeq and is a predicted model, not a curated record.